UACGGGGGGAGCAAGCGUUGUUCGGAUUUACUGGGCGUAAAGGGCGCGUAGGCGGUUGUGACAAGUCACUUGUGAAAUCUCCGGGCUUAACUCGGAACGGUCAAGUGAUACUGUCGGACUAGAGUACAGAAGGGGCAACUGGAAUUCUCGGUGUAGCGGUGAAAUGCGUAGAUAUCUGGAGGAACACCGGUGGCGAAGGCGGCAUCCUGGACCGAGAUUGACGCUGAGGCGCGAAAGCCAGGGGAGCAAACGGG
This 254-nucleotide ribosomal RNA is filed under the name uncultured bacterium. RNAcentral describes it as "partial 16S ribosomal RNA". It matches the Rfam family "Bacterial small subunit ribosomal RNA", at positions 524 to 776 of the family's 1533-position model. The record is from RNAcentral.